GCCAGACUCCUACGGGAGGCAGCAGUGGGGGAUAUUGCACAAUGGGGGAAACCCUGAUGCAGCGACGCCGCGUGGGCGAAGAAGUAUUUCGGUAUGUAAAGCCCUCUCAGCAGGGAAGAAGAAAUGACGGUACCUGAGUAAGAAGCACCGGCUAAAUACGUGCCAGCAGCCGCGGUAAUACGUAGGGGGCAAGCGUUAUCCGGAUUUACUGGGUGUAAAGGGAGCGUAGACGGAAAGGCAAGUCAGAAGUGAAAGCCCAAGGCUCAACCAUGGGACUGCUUUUGAAGCUGUCAAACUAGAGUACGGGAGAGGUAAGAGGAAUUCCUAGUGUAGCGGUGAAAUGCGUAGAUAUUAGGAGGAACACCAGUGGCGAAGGCGUCUUACUGGACCGAAACUGACGUUGAGGCUCGAAAGCGUGGGGAGCAAACAGGAUUAGAUACCCGCGUAC
This 448-nucleotide ribosomal RNA is filed under the name uncultured bacterium. RNAcentral describes it as "partial 16S ribosomal RNA". It matches the Rfam family "Bacterial small subunit ribosomal RNA", at positions 330 to 793 of the family's 1533-position model. The record is from RNAcentral.